GUGAAUCAUCAAAUUUUUGAACGCAUAUUGCACUCUCUGGUAUUCCGGAGCGUAUGUCUAUUUGAGGGUCAUUUGAAAUAAUAUAAAUUUCGAGUUUUUCUUGAAAUCAAAAAUGGGUCGGUCAAGCUUUAGUGUGGUGGUCGCCUAAACUGCAAGACAAGCUCAUUUCUUGGGUUGCGUGAUACUUUCUGUUACCUCGUGCCUUCGCAAGAAAUAUUCGUGCGAGUUAAGAACUGUGCAAGA
Molecule: unclassified non-coding RNA, 243 nt
Filed under: Ambisporaceae sp.
Lineage: Eukaryota; Fungi; Glomeromycota; Glomeromycetes; Archaeosporales; Ambisporaceae
Description: partial contains 5.8S ribosomal RNA and internal transcribed spacer 2
Rfam family: 5.8S ribosomal RNA (bases 1-71)
Source: RNAcentral